Molecule: ribosomal RNA, 1484 nt
Filed under: uncultured organism
Description: SSU rRNA
Rfam family: Bacterial small subunit ribosomal RNA
Source: RNAcentral
UAGGACGAACGCUGGCGGCGUGCCUAAUACAUGCAAGUCGAACGAACUCUGGUAUUGAUUGGUGCUUGCAUCAUGAUUUACAUUUGAGUGAGUGGCGAACUGGUGAGUAACACGUGGGAAACCUGCCCAGAAGCGGGGGAUAACACCUGGAAACAGAUGCUAAUACCGCAUAACAACUUGGACCGCAUGGUCCGAGUUUGAAAAAUGGCUUCGGCUAUCACUUUUGGAUGGUCCCGCGGCGUAUUAGCUAGAUGGUGGGGUAACGGCUCACCAUGGCAAUGAUACGUAGCCGACCUGAGAGGGUAAUCGGCCACAUUGGGACUGAGACACGGCCCAAACUCCUACGGGAGGCAGCAGUAGGGAAUCUUCCACAAUGGACGAAAGUCUGAUGGAGCAACGCCGCGUGAGUGAAGAAGGGUUUCGGCUCGUAAAACUCUGUUGUUAAAGAAGAACAUAUCUGAGAGUAACUGUUCAGGUAUUGACGGUAUUUAACCAGAAAGCCACGGCUAACUACGUGCCAGCAGCCGCGGUAAUACGUAGGUGGCAAGCGUUGUCCGGAUUUAUUGGGCGUAAAGCGAGCGCAGGCGGUUUUUUAAGUCUGAUGUGAAAGCCUUCGGCUCAACCGAAGAAGUGCAUCGGGAACUGGGAAACUUGAGUGCAGAAGAGGACAGUGGAACUCCAUGUGUAGCGGUGAAAUGCGUAGAUAUAUGGAAGAACACCAGUGGCGAAGGCGGCUGUCUGGUCUGUAACUGACGCUGAGGCUCGAAAGUAUGGGUAGCAAACAGGAUUAGAUACCCUGGUAGUCCAUACCGUAAACGAUGAAUGCUAAGUGUUGGAGGGUUUCCGCCCUUCAGUGCUGCAGCUAACGCAUUAAGCAUUCCGCCUGGGGAGUACGGCCGCAAGGCUGAAACUCAAAGGAAUUGACGGGGGCCCGCACAAGCGGUGGAGCAUGUGGUUUAAUUCGAAGCUACGCGAAGAACCUUACCAGGUCUUGACAUACUAUGCAAAUCUAAGAGAUUAGACGUUCCCUUCGGGGACAUGGAUACAGGUGGUGCAUGGUUGUCGUCAGCUCGUGUCGUGAGAUGUUGGGUUAAGUCCCGCAACGAGCGCAACCCUUAUUAUCAGUUGCCAGCAUUAAGUUGGGCACUCUGGUGAGACUGCCGGUGACAAACCGGAGGAAGGUGGGGAUGACGUCAAAUCAUCAUGCCCCUUAUGACCUGGGCUACACACGUGCUACAAUGGAUGGUACAACGAGUUGCGAACUCGCGAGGGUAAGCUAAUCUCUUAAAGCCAUUCUCAGUUCGGAUUGUAGGCUGCAACUCGCCUACAUGAAGUUGGAAUCGCUAGUAAUCGCGGAUCAGCAUGCCGCGGUGAAUACGUUCCCGGGCCUUGUACACACCGCCCGUCACACCAUGAGAGUUUGUAACACCCAAAGUCGGUGGGGUAACCUUUUAGGAACCAGCCGCCUAAGGUGGGACAGAUGA